Helianthus annuus (common sunflower) is the source of this 553-nucleotide long non-coding RNA. RefSeq lists it as uncharacterized. The transcript has 2 exons. The record is from RefSeq and is a predicted model, not a curated record. NCBI's taxonomy places the organism in Eukaryota, Viridiplantae, Streptophyta, Magnoliopsida, Asterales, Asteraceae.
AUUUUUUUUAUUUAUAUUUUUAGCCCAUUAUGCCCAAAUCCAUCUUGACAAAAACCCAUCUUGACCUAAACCCAUUUUUUAAUAAACUCAUCCCAACCCAAACCCAUCAUAACCCACUGCCCAAACCUUCACGACCCACCCAUUUUGCCACCCCUAGUUUUUAUGUUCCCACUUGUGUAUCAUGUACUAAAUGAGAUGGAUUGUGUUUUUGUUCCAUCAAAUAUUGACUUGUUUGAGAAGCAUUGUGGUGUGAUGACUCGAUACAGCUUGAGACGUCACUUGCUAACCUUUGGAAGCAUUUGCAGUAACUUGGUUGAUAGGGACACUGUUGAGGAAGCGUUUAAGGUUGUUUGUAGAAAGAGGAUACUUGAAUAAUUACUAAUUAGAUGUGACCAGUUGAAAGUCACGAGGAAGCUUAAUUUUGUUUCAUAUUUAAUGCAAACUUUAAGUAUAUAAUGCUAAAUCACUAGUUGUCAUCUCUAAGUAUUUAGAAGUUUUGUUUCCAAAACAUGGCUUCUUCGCACCAUCCUUUCUAAACCUUUUUCUUAUGCUA